AUUUAUAAAUUUCGCACGUUGCUAUUUCCACAUUCAGAUAAUUGUCUACAAAUCACGAGAGAAUCUCAAUUUAUUAAUUGACAAAGAGAAUUUCAUAGCAUAUCUAUAAGUAACAACAAUCAUUCAAGUUUUAUUCAUUAAACUUGCUAAAGAGUCAUUCGUCUAGUAUUUCGUUUUUACACUGAUCUCAAUUGAAUAUCGCGUAACAUUAUAUCUUAUGAUGAUGGAUAAUUUCAAAAAGAGUUAUGAGCUGUCUAAGAUUAUCAAGAUCGAGGCAGUAAACAUUAAAAUAAAUAAAUUAAUUGAAUUAGAUAUUACUUUAACAGCACAAAGUCUCUAAAUCGACUCUGAGUCGAUUAUAGCUUCUAGACGUCUAAAAAAUGGACGUCCGUAAAUCGACUUUAGACGACUUGGAGACGUCUCUAAGUCAUACAAAUCCCACUUUAAAGACGACUGUAAGCCGACUUUAAGUCAACUAUUCUAGGCUGUGGUUCAAUUCAUGCCCAUAACGCUCAUGAACAGCAUUCAUCCCUGUUUAACUAUAGUUCAACAACAAGGACAAAAUGAUUCCACAUUUAAGCUUUGUGAGCGUAAAUCGCACUAGAUGUCCUAAAGUCGAUAUUCAUCGGAAGGACAUCUGUACAAAGUCGACUCUAAAGGUUUGACUUAGCAAAGUCAACUUACAAUCGACGUAUCGAUGUUUAUACUGUUAGUAGAUGCGUAAAUCAUUUCAGUAUUCUUUCUUUUCAUAUCAAGACUUUGAGCGACGUGCGCGGGUAUCCUUUCUAAGCGGGUAUCCGACGAGUGUUGACAGAGUCCCGAAAGUGAAGCAAAGCACGUCAAACAAUAGCUGCGUUCAGCUCAACAGUUGAGUAAGCGCUCGCUGUUAUUGGUGUAGUCUUUUAGAACAUCCAAUCAGCAUUUUAGAUCUGGAAGAAUAUAUCAAUAGCAACGAGCGCUCACUCAAUUGUUGAGUCCGCUGAACGCAGUCAUUAACAUUCUUACAAGCCAGAUAUCUAGGCAGACUGCCCGGAGUCAAAGUUUCAGCGAUGUUCAUAUACUCGCGAAAAGCAAGUCUCAUCCGGACGAAACAGUGUCACAUUACAGUUAUAUUGUUGAGUAAAUAAAUAAAGAGUAACAGAUACAUAUGUUACAUGUAACUUAGUGUUUGCUGGAUAUAUGUAUAUACAUAUAAGAUCACAAAAUCAAGGAAAGAAAGACACUGAAAGGAAUCCCUAUAACGAUGGCUUCUUUAAAAUAUGUUGUUGUAUUUUCCUUAUUAAUGAAAAUAAUACUAGCGCAUUAUUAUGCUGAAUCUAUGACAGUUCCAGAUAAGCAAGCAACAGAAAGAUAUACAUUUAAUAAAAAAGCAGUGCAAGGAGAAAAUGAAGGAAGUGCAUCCAACAGAAAUGGAGGAAUUGAACUAAAUAAAGCGGAUGAAUAAGGCUAUGAACAAAGAUAUCCUGAAGAAGGACUCUUUGAAAGAGGACGUUUGAAAAAGAUAAUAAAAAGGGCCGAUGUAGAAAAGGCGAAGAGGAAAAUGGAAAGCGAUCUGAAACUGACGCAGGAAACCAUUGCCUAUCUCAAGAGAAAUAAGAAGGAAAUCGAUCCAUCAAAGAUCAACCAACGCAAAGAUAACGAAUCGCUAAUGAAGGAAUUGCAGAAAAAGAUUCAGGAACUGCAGAGCCGAAUCGAGGAACUUGAAGAAGAGGUCGAAGCAGAAAAUAAAAAAGAAGAAUAAGUUUGACC
Molecule: long non-coding RNA, 1749 nt
Filed under: Acromyrmex echinatior (Panamanian leafcutter ant)
Lineage: Eukaryota; Metazoa; Arthropoda; Insecta; Hymenoptera; Formicidae
Description: uncharacterized LOC105149777, transcript variant X1
Source: RNAcentral